AGCGACAGAAGAAAGCACCGGCUAACUCCGUGCCAGCAGCGCGGUAAUACGGAGGUGCGAGCGUUAAUACGGAAUUACUGGGACGUAAAGACGCAUGCAGGUGGUUUGUUAAGUCAGAUGUGAAAGACCCGGGCGUCAACCUACGGAAUAGACAUUUAGUAAACGUAGGCGAGACUAGAGUACUGUAGGAGGGGGUAGGAAUUUCAGGUGUAGCGGUGAAAUGCGUAGAGAUCUGAAGGAAUACCGGUGGCGAAGGCGGCCCCCUCGGACAGAUACUGACACUCAGAUGCGAAAGCGUGGGGAGCAAACAGGAUUAGAUACCCUGGUAG
This 329-nucleotide ribosomal RNA is filed under the name uncultured bacterium. Its description in RNAcentral is "bacterial SSU rRNA". It matches the Rfam family "Bacterial small subunit ribosomal RNA", at positions 476 to 793 of the family's 1533-position model. The record is from RNAcentral.